Non-coding RNA from Ctenopharyngodon idella (grass carp), 1642 nucleotides. The record is from the annotation of a RefSeq genome assembly. Lineage: Eukaryota; Metazoa; Chordata; Actinopteri; Cypriniformes; Xenocyprididae.
UAUCGUAAACUUUCCGGCUGUGACGAAGCCUUUGACUACUGGGGAAAGGGAACCGCGGUGACUGUAACAUCAGCUGAACCAUCUCCGCCGAAGUCAAUCUUCGGCCUGUCUCAGUGUUCUUCUGAUUCUGAGUUCCUCACCAUCGGCUGCGUGUCAAGAGGUUUCUCCCCCGCGGACUUUCUUACUUUCAAAUGGACGGAUCCCGCUAAGAAAGAGGUGACUGAUUUCGUGCAGUAUCCAGCGUUCGGGAGUGAAGGAGACUAUACCAAAAUCAGCCAUCUGCGUGUGAAAAAAAGCGACUGGAAUCCUCAAACCUCUUACACAUGUGAAGCUUCAAAUUCGAAAGACAAAAAAGAAGUUAUUAUACCUCGACCAGCCUCACCGCCAGAUCAGCCUGCAACUGUCUACUUAACAGUACCUACACAAAAGGAUUUAGAAACUGGAACAGCAACCUUCUUGUGUUUAGCCCAGCAGUUUUCACCUAAAACAUAUUCGUUUAAGUGGUUUAAGGAUGAAACGCAGUUGACAAAGUUGACACAUUCGAUAAACACCUAUGACGCAAGUGAGAAGAAUGGCUCAGUAACCUUAUAUAGCGCCACAAGCAUUUUGCAAAUCAGUGCCGGAGAAUGGAAGACAGCCGCCAAAAUCAAGUGCGAGUUCGAGCACAAGACGGGAAAAGAAGUCAGAGAGGCCGAAUAUACAGAUAAUUUAUCCUUAGUAGAUAAAUUAACACUGACACUGAAGCCACCAAUUGAAAAAGAACUAUUUCUCAAUAAUAAAGUUGUCUUGCAAGCUGUUGUUUCUGGAGAUGCAAAAAAAGUGACAGAAGCUUCAGUGUCAUGCACAGUGAAUAAUGACCGGGUGGAUCCUAGAAGUUUCAACGUUUCUCAGGACAAUUCACAGAAUAUUAAAAUCCACAAAUUCAUAGUUGAUACAAAUAAAUGGUUUGAUGGUGAAACUGUCACCUGCACCAUCAACGACGGACACAUCAAGCAGGAAAUCCAUUGUAAUAAAGGAGAUGAAAAGACACCCAAUGUUACCAUUUACAGACCUGAUAGUAACAACGACACAAAUCAUGUCUCUCUGGUGUGUGAGGUCACAAGCCCUAAACUUGGCGAUGUCUAUAUCAUGUGGAAAGUGAGAGAAAAGCCUUACGAAGAGGCCAUAACCAGUCUUCCUAUUCAUCAAAAGAGCUCCACAUCGGUUGUCAGCAUCCUAACAGUGUCAAAACAAGAGUAUGAGGACCCCGGAACCACCAUCACCUGCGCAGUUAAACAUGCCAAGAAGGGGAAUUUAAGCGCUCCAUUACAAGUUUCAACAAGCCAAAGGGAUCCACCUGAGCCAGAGAAGGGUUUUGCUCUGAACUGUAAUAAUGAUGUUCUGGAGGAGGAUGAGUUCAGAAGUCUCUGGUCCACUGCCACUUCAUUCAUCUUCCUCUUCCUCUUUUCUCUGACCUACAGCGCUGUACUCAGCCUCUUCAAUAUGAAGCAGUGAUGGUUUUUUUCAAAAGAACUUCCGAAGACUCCAAGGUUUCUUGUUAUGUUGAAUCUACAUAAUUUGCCUCUAUAUGCACACAUUUUUGAAGAUAUUGACAAAUAUAUACUCAAUGUUCACACUCAUCAAUAAAGUCUUAUUAUGUCUA